UACGUAGGCAGCGAGCGUUGUUCGGAGUUACUGGGCGUAAAGAGUGCGUAGGCGGUUUUCUAAGUUUGGUGUGAAAUCUCCCGGCUUAACUGGGAGGGUGCGCCGAAGACUGGAAGGCUUGAGUAUGGGAGAGGUAGGCGGAAUUCCUGGUGUAGCGGUGAAAUGCGUAGAUAUCAGGAGGAACACCUGCGGUGUAGACGGCUUACUGGACCAUAACUGACGCUGAGGCACGAAAGCGUGGGGAGCGAACAGG
This 253-nucleotide ribosomal RNA is filed under the name uncultured bacterium. RNAcentral describes it as "partial 16S ribosomal RNA". It matches the Rfam family "Bacterial small subunit ribosomal RNA", at positions 524 to 776 of the family's 1533-position model. The record is from RNAcentral.